GAGAUUGAGCGCACACCGCAACCGCUCCCUGAAAAAAUUCGAGAGAGAGUACGGUCCGAGCGACCUGGAUCCAAACGGUUCCCUUUUAACAGUUUCACAUACUGUUUGAUUGUGUAUUUGGAGUUCUUUUCACCUUUGCCUGCCGGUAGGUGUUCGCUAUAGCACUCUCGCAGACGUUUUGGUUGCGCUUGCAUUCACCACCCGCCAUUAACAGGUUGCCUAGAAAAAAAAAAUUAGUUGAAAACGUAUCCUCUAAAAGAGCUAUAUCCAACUAUGACACUCUUCAUUGCACUCCAUGAACCCUUGUUAUGCAUGAAUGAUGAAUCCGUGGUGGCAUGAAAAAUGUAACUGCUAGAUACUCUGCGGCGGAUGGUGCCCAAGCAGAAUCCAACUAUGAGCUCUUUCCUUCUUCUCACGCGGUUACGUUGGUGACCCUUGGUAUCUUCUUU
This 449-nucleotide ribosomal RNA is filed under the name Mucor circinelloides. RNAcentral describes it as "partial large subunit ribosomal RNA". Lineage: Eukaryota; Fungi; Mucoromycota; Mucoromycetes; Mucorales; Mucoraceae. The record is from RNAcentral.